GUUAAACAGGUUUAAUGACGGUCAUGGCAACUGUUUGGCACAAUGAAAAAUAUCGCCCAUGAUCAACGUGUUCUGUUCUGGGGAAGGGGGCAAAGGCAGGGUGAAUCACUUUCUUAAAAAGUAUAGCUCAAGUUGGGAGUGCAGAGGGAAUGGGGAGAAAACCCUCCCGCUGCCUGUGUCGAAGUGCAGGAGCCCCCACCCCCAUACUCACCUGAGUCCAGCCCCUCUGGGGAAAGAAGGGGUGCAUGAACUCCCCCUAGUCCACAGGCACCUCCCUGUGGCCCAAGGCCCUCUUCACACUCCAUCUUGUAGCCCCAACAGGAGCUAUUUUCCGAAAAGUGAAAAGCUCUGAAGGUCCCACAAUUCAUGGUAUGUACACCUCCCUCACCAGGGGCUGCAAAGUGGCCUGGAGCUCCAUACUGAGUAGAAGUCUUUGGGCCAGAGUCAGCAUCUGGCUGACGGUCCGGAUAUCCUGGUUGGAGUGACCCUGGUGCGCCCUGCCAGGGCCUGGUGCCGCUUGCUGAAGAUCAUGACCGCCACUCAUGGGCCACCGAUGUGGUCCUUGUCCCAUUUGUUGGGGCUGCGUCCAUCCUUCUCAGAAGAUGAGUCCUGUUCCUUGCGCAGGGCACUGAGGGACUGGGCCUGACAUCAUCUGAGUGGUAGAGGCAACUGGGUGUCAGGAGACAUGAUGGAGAGGAAAGCAUCAUCAUGGUCAUUCUCUGUCUCACUGUCCAGCAGGGACUCCCCUGAGGGGCCCAGGGCUCCUCCUCCAUGGUGGGAGGUGGGACCAUCCAGUUUCAGGAAAACAAGCUUAACACGCCCACUGAUUCUACAUUAUGCUCCUACCUCCCGGCAGCCUCACCAGGCCCAGAACUCUCUCCAGUCAGCCUCUACAGACCAAGCUCAUGACUCACAAUGGCCUAUUGAGGCCCAUACCCUACCUCACGGCAGUCUCCGCAGAUGAGCCUACUGCCUCACAACAGCCUCCACAGGCACAGCUCCAUCGUUACAAUGGCCUCUUUAGACCCAGCUCCUGCCUCCCAGCCUUCUCUCCAGGCCCUGAACUUUCUCCGUAAGUUGAGGUAGCUGGGACUGUAGGUAUACAUGACGAUACUUGGCUAAUUUUUAAAUUGUUUUGCAGACAUGGGGUCUCACUUUGUUGGCCAGGCUGGUGUCAAACUAAUGGCCUCAAGUGACCCUUCCACCCCUGCCUCCCAUCCUCGAGGUAUGUGCCACCACAAGGGGCACUUGUUCAAUUUUCUAAAGAAAAAAUUUCUAAAGUAAGGCUGUGGGAUGAUGGCAGGAAGAUAAAAGAAAAACAGAAGAAUAAGUUAAAAUGACUUAUUCACACAUAUUCUUUUGACAGCAAGAAGAACUCUUAGUAUAUACAUUCCUUACAAACAAAGAAACGGCAGAUAAACAAUGUUGUAUAGGAACUUCAACACACACUGUACAAUAUUCCCACUUUGCUGACAUAAGUUAUGGAAAUUUCGUGGUUUCCUUGAGUGUCGCUACCAGUAUUUUGCUUCUCUGAUGAUUUUUAUCAACUUCCUCAUCUGUUAACUUCUCUCCAAAGUAUGUCACGUCACGACAUACUGCCGCUGCACGAACACGGCCAGUGUCUUCCUAUUAAACAUGUAGAAUGCUUUCCUAAUUUCUCUUUUUACUCUCUGUCUUUGUGUUCUGCAUUUUCCUUACUUUUAUUGUCAGAAACUCCAGAAAGUCAAUCGUACUAAUUUAUCACGAUUUGCUUUAUUAAUUUAUACUAUGCUUAUAUGGAAUUUUGCCCAACAGACCUCAUUACAAUUUGGGCCAGGGCCCAGGGUUAGGGUUGUUUUAGGGUCAGGGCCAGGGCCCAGGGUUAGUGUUGUUUUAGGGUCAGGGCCAGG
This is a long non-coding RNA of Gorilla gorilla gorilla (western lowland gorilla), 1889 nucleotides long. RefSeq lists it as uncharacterized. The record is from RefSeq and is a predicted model, not a curated record. The transcript is spliced from 3 exons. Lineage: Eukaryota; Metazoa; Chordata; Mammalia; Primates; Hominidae.